This 1189-nucleotide long non-coding RNA is filed under the name Chrysemys picta bellii (western painted turtle). RNAcentral describes it as "lncRNA (ENSCPBG00000021631.1)". The record is from RNAcentral. Lineage: Eukaryota; Metazoa; Chordata; Testudines; Emydidae.
ACACUGUAGCAUUUAAUUUCAGAAAGGGGCACUACACAAAAACGAGGAGGUUAGUUAAACAGAAAUUAAAUGGUACAGUGCCAAAAAUGAAAUCUCUGCAAGCUGCGUGGAAACUUUUUAAAGACACCAUAAUAGAGGCUCAACUUAAAUAUAUACCCCAAAUUAAAAAACAUAGUAAGAGAACCAAAAAAGAACCACCGUGGCUAAACAACAUAGUAAAAGAAGCAGAGAGAGGCAAAAAGGCAUCCUUUAAAAAGUGGAAGUUAAAUUCUAGUGAGGAAAAUGGAAAGGAGCAUAAACACUGGCAAUUGAAGUGUAAAAAUACAAUGAGGAAGGCCAAAAAAGAAUUUGAGGAACAGAUAGCCAAAGACUCCAAAAGUAAUAGCAAAAAAAAUUUUAAGUACAACAGAAACAGGAAGCCUGCUAAACAACCAGUGGGGCCACUGGAUGAUCAAGGUGCUAAAGGAGCACUCAAGGACGAUAAGGCCAUUGCAGAAAAACUAAAUGAAUUCUUUGCAUCAUUCUUCAUGGCUGAGGAUGUGAGGGAGAUUCCCAAACCUGAGCCAUUCUUUUUAGGUGACAGAACUGAGGAACUACCACAGAUUGAGGUAUCAUUAGAGAAGGUUUUGGAACAAAUUGAUAAAUUAAACAGCAAUAAAUCACCAGGACCAGAUGGUAUUCACCCAAGAGUUCUGAAGGAACUCAAAUGUGAAAUUGCAGAACUAUUAACUGUAGUCUGUAACCUAUCAUUUAAAUCAACUUUUGUACCAGAUGUCUGGAGGAGAGCUAAUGUGAAGCCAAUUUUUAAAAAGGGCUCCAGAGAUGAUCCCGUCAAUUACAGGCCUGCAACCCUCACUUCAGUACCAAGCAAACUAGUUGAAACAAUAAUAAAGAACAAUAUUGUCAGACAUAUAGAUGAACAUAAUUUGUUGAGGAAGAGUCAACAUGGUUUUAAUAAAGGGAAAUCAUGCCUCACCAAUCUGCCAGAAUUUUUUGAGGGGGUCAACAAGCAUGUGGACCAAGGGGAUCCACUGGAUAUAGUGUAUAUAGAUUUUCACAAAGCCUUUGACAAGGUCCCUCACCAAAGGCUCUCAUGCAAAGUAAGCUGCCACUGGGUAAAAGGGAAGGUGCUCUCAUGGAUUGGUAACUUGUUAAAAGAUAGGAAACAAAGAGUAGGUAUAAAUAGUCA